RNAcentral lists this ribosomal RNA (492 nucleotides) under uncultured bacterium. RNAcentral describes it as "partial 16S ribosomal RNA". It matches the Rfam family "Bacterial small subunit ribosomal RNA", at positions 28 to 507 of the family's 1533-position model. The record is from RNAcentral.
GGUGAACGCUGGCGGUAGGCCUAACACAUGCAAGUCGAACGGCAGCACAGUAAGAGCUUGCUCUUACGGGUGGCGAGUGGCGGACGGGUGAGGAAUACAUCGGAAUCUACUUUUUCGUGGGGGACAACGUAGGGACACUUACGCUAAUACCGCAUACGACCUACGGAUGAAAGCAGGGGGUCUUCCGACCUUGCGCGAUUGAAUGAGCCAAUGUCGGGUUAGCUAGUUGGCGGGGUAAAGGCCCACCAAGGCGACGAUCCGUAGCUGGUCUGAGAGGAUGAUCAGCCACACUGGAACUGAGACACGGUCCAGACUCCUACGGGAGGCAGCAGUGGGGAAUAUUGGACAAUGGGCGAAAGCCUGAUCCAGCAAUACCGCGUGGGUGAGGAAGGCCUUCGGGUUGUAAAGCCCUUUUGUUAGGAAAGAAAAGCAGCGGGUUAAACUCUCGCUGUUCUGACGGUACCCAAAGAAUAAGCACCGGCUAACUUCGUG